Long non-coding RNA from Leptidea sinapis, 316 nucleotides. RefSeq lists it as uncharacterized. NCBI's taxonomy places the organism in Eukaryota, Metazoa, Arthropoda, Insecta, Lepidoptera, Pieridae. The transcript has 3 exons. The record is from RefSeq and is a predicted model, not a curated record.
GCAGUGACAAAUCAGAUGAGGACGGUAGUUCGUCAUUUCACAGUUACGAUUAUUGUUAUUUUUGGAAUUGGUGUCCUUACGCCGCGACCUGCUCUCGCCUCUCGCCUCCACGACUCAAGCAGAUCUCACCUAUAACUAUGUAGUAACAAACCUAUCUUGGAUGAUCUGAUCAGGUCGCAGAUCUGGACCAAAUCACUUCCCGUGAGGUCACACGGAAUCUUCAAAGUUAGCCAGAAAUAAAAUAAUUCUCAAGAGUAAGACUCACAAAGAAAGCUUGUAGAUUAACCAACAAUGUCAAGAGAUUCGUGUCUUCCGC